RNAcentral lists this long non-coding RNA (1410 nucleotides) under Macaca fascicularis (crab-eating macaque). RNAcentral's name for it is "lncRNA (ENSMFAG00000054667.1)". Lineage: Eukaryota; Metazoa; Chordata; Mammalia; Primates; Cercopithecidae. The record is from RNAcentral.
AUAUCUUUGCAAAAUUGCACACCUUUGCUCUGAACAAAGUAAGGAAAUCCCGGACUAGACACCAUUCUAAAAAACAGAACUUGAAACGCAUUUGCUAAAAUCUUUAACAACUAAAAUGUCCAUGUGAUGAGAUCCCAUGUGUCCUCUUCUAACGUUCUCUAGAUGAUUCAUUAUGGAGCACAUUUUUGAAAUAUAUGAAUAAAGAUGAACUUUACUUGGAAUGAGGUCAGGAUGCAUGCUGUGAAUAUCUGCUCUCCACAGAGAAAAACGUUCGCUUUGGGUGUGGGGACAGAGGGGGCCGGCUGUGAAAUUCCAGCAAAGGGGUGUGGACGCCCAGAGCGGGCGGGGCUGCUGUGCCGCCCCUGAGGCCCCGCGAGUGAGUGGCCUCAGUGUGUGUUACGUCCAGGCCCCUGCUCCUGCCUGCCCCUGGGCGUUCUCUGAGAGAACCAAUAUCCCAGAGAGACUGAGACGUUCUCAGAGCCAGCCAGUCUGCCCUGCGGGACGACACCAUUUUCCAGGCGCUGGUGCAAGUGUUUCCGUCCCGGGAAAUGCACAGGGCUCUCUCUGAGGAGCUUUCUGAUCACAACACGGCAAGCACCAGAGAAUUCAGUCUCCCCGGCGCUCCUGCGGGCCUUCUAGGACACCACAAUUACACACAACAAACAGAAACCCCUCACUUCUCAAGUGUUCAUAGACACUCUCUCCUCGAUUCUCUCCUCCUCCUCCUCCUCGUCCUUCCUCCUCCUCCUUCCUCCUCCUCCUCCUCCUCUUCCUCGUCCUUCCUUCUCCUCCUCCUUCCUCCUCCUCCUCUUCUUCUUCCUCUUCUUCCUCUUCCUCCUCUUCCUCCUCUUCUUCUUCUUCCUCUUCUUCCAUAAGCCCUGGGCUUAUGGCUGCAUCGCUCCCUCCUCUGCCUCUGUCUCCGUGUGGACUUCUCCUCUCUGUGUGUCUCGGAGUCAGACCACAGAGAUGAUGUUGUGAUGCCUGUCAUUGGAUUUAGGGCACACUCGGAUAAUCCAGGACACAGUCAUCUUAAAAUCCUCCACCGAAUUCUACCUGCAAAGGGCCUUUUUCUAGAGAAGUUCAUGCUCCCAGCUUCUGGAGGCUGCACAGAACGGGACCGAGGCUGAGAUGUCUUCAGUGUGUCUGGGCUGGAGGUGGAGGUCAGAUGAGAAACUGGGUAUUGGCAGAGUCCUGGGGAAGAGUCCUCCAUCAGGUUCAGAGGAGAAACAGUGACUUCAAGUGGGGGCCCCUGGCAGGCCCCAACCCAGACUGGGUUUACCAGCUUCCCCGUGGCCUGGGCAUCCUACGGAUGCACGCAGAGGGCACCACACACUCCUGCCAUGGCCUCUCCAACUGCAGGUGCUCCUGGCUCUGGCUCUGAGGAGACCUGCAUAAGAAAGGCCAGUUCUG